GACGAACGCUGGCGGCGUGCUUAACACAUGCAAGUCGAACGGAAAGGCCCUGCUUUUGUGGGGUGCUCGAGUGGCGAACGGGUGAGUAACACGUGAGUAACCUGCCCUUGACUUUGGGAUAACUUCAGGAAACUGGGGCUAAUACCGGAUAGGAGCUCCUGCUGCAUGGUGGGGGUUGGAAAGUUUCGGCGGUUGGGGAUGGACUCGCGGCUUAUCAGCUUGUUGGUGGGGUAGUGGCUUACCAAGGCUUUGACGGGUAGCCGGCCUGAGAGGGUGACCGGCCACAUUGGGACUGAGAUACGGCCCAGACUCCUACGGGAGGCAGCAGUGGGGAAGAUUGCACAAUGGGAGGAAGCCUGAUGCAGCAACGCCGCGUGCGGGAUGACGGCCUUCGGGUUGUAAACCGCUUUCGCCUGUGACGAAGCGUGAGUGACGGUAAUGGGUAAAGAAGCACCGGCUAACUACGUG
This 468-nucleotide ribosomal RNA is filed under the name uncultured bacterium. RNAcentral's name for it is "partial 16S ribosomal RNA". It matches the Rfam family "Bacterial small subunit ribosomal RNA", at positions 28 to 507 of the family's 1533-position model. The record is from RNAcentral.